AGAGGGCAGUUUCGGGGUUGCUUAUAGAUCAUUUAAACAUAAUCGAUCAAUGAAACUAAAAUUUUUGGUGCACUGCAAAAGUUAGCAACCCCCCUAACCAACACUUGCUAUGCAUAGGGCAGUUUGGGGUGGCCAAUAGAUCAUUUAAACUUAAUCGAUCAUAGAAACAAAAACAUUUGGACCACUACAAAAGUUACAACCCCUGCAGUCGAGGACGGCUAUGCAUGUUAGUGUGAUAUUCCUACAAAAUUCCCUAAGUUUAAAUCAAGAAUGAAAUUUACUUUUAGAGAGCAGUUUCGGGGUUGCUUAUAGAUCAAUUAAACAUAAUCGAUUAAAGAAACUAAAAUUUUCGGUUUGCUGCAAAAGUUAUCAACCCCCCUAACCAACACUUGCCAUGCAUUGGGCAGUUCCGGGGUGGCCAAUAGAUCAUUUAAACUUAAUCGAUCAUAGAAACAAAAAUAUUCGGUGCGCUGCAAAAGUUACAACCCCUGCAGUCGAGGAUUGCUAUACGAAGGGCAGUUUCGGGGUUGCUUGUAGAUCAUUU
Photinus pyralis (common eastern firefly) is the source of this 544-nucleotide long non-coding RNA. RefSeq lists it as uncharacterized. NCBI's taxonomy places the organism in Eukaryota, Metazoa, Arthropoda, Insecta, Coleoptera, Lampyridae. The record is from RefSeq and is a predicted model, not a curated record. The transcript is spliced from 4 exons.